UUUAUGGAGAGUUUGAUCCUGGCUCAGGAUGAACGCUGGUGGCGUGCCUAAUACAUGCAAGUCGAGCGAACGGACGAGAAGCUUGCUUCUCUGAUGUUAGCGGCGGACGGGUGAGUAACACGUGGAUAACCUACCUAUAAGACUGGGAUAACUUCGGGAAACCGGAGCUAAUACCGGAUAAUAUUUUGAACCGCAUGGUUCAAAAGUGAAAGACGGUCUUGCUGUCACUUAUAGAUGGAUCCGCGCUGCAUUAGCUAGUUGGUAAGGUAACGGCUUACCAAGGCAACGAUGCAUAGCCGACCUGAGAGGGUGAUCGGCCACACUGGAACUGAGACACGGUCCAGACUCCUACGGGAGGCAGCAGUAGGGAAUCUUCCGCAAUGGGCGAAAGCCUGACGGAGCAACGCCGCGUGAGUGAUGAAGGUCUUCGGAUCGUAAAACUCUGUUAUUAGGGAAGAACAUAUGUGUAAGUAACUGUGCACAUCUUGACGGUACCUAAUCAGAAAGCCACGGCUAACUACGUGCCAGCAGCCGCGGUAAUACGUAGGUGGCAAGCGUUAUCCGGAAUUAUUGGGCGUAAAGCGCGCGUAGGCGGUUUUUUAAGUCUGAUGUGAAAGCCCACGGCUCAACCGUGGAGGGUCAUUGGAAACUGGAAAACUUGAGUGCAGAAGAGGAAAGUGGAAUUCCAUGUGUAGCGGUGAAAUGCACAGAGAUAUGGAGGAACACCAGUGGCGAAGGCGACUUUCUGGUCUGUAACUGACGCUGAUGUGCGAAAGCGUGGGGAUCAAACAGGAUUAGAUACCCUGGUAGUCCACGCCGUAAACGAUGAGUGCUAAGUGUUAGGGGGUUUCCGCCCCUUAGUGCUGCAGCUAACGCAUUAAGCACUCCGCCUGGGGAGUACGACCGCAAGGUUGAAACUCAAAGGAAUUGACGGGGACCCGCACAAGCGGUGGAGCAUGUGGUUUAAUUCGAAGCAACGCGAAGAACCUUACCAAAUCUUGACAUCCUUUGACAACUCUAGAGAUAGAGCCUUCCCCUUCGGGGGACAAAGUGACAGGUGGUGCAUGGUUGUCGUCAGCUCGUGUCGUGAGAUGUUGGGUUAAGUCCCGCAACGAGCGCAACCCUUAAGCUUAGUUGCCAUCAUUAAGUUGGGCACUCUAAGUUGACUGCCGGUGACAAACCGGAGGAAGGUGGGGAUGACGUCAAAUCAUCAUGCCCCUUAUGAUUUGGGCUACACACGUGCUACAAUGGACAAUACAAAGGGCAGCGAAACCGCGAGGUCAAGCAAAUCCCAUAAAGUUGUUCUCAGUUCGGAUUGUAGUCUGCAACUCGACUACAUGAAGCUGGAAUCGCUAGUAAUCGUAGAUCAGCAUGCUACGGUGAAUACGUUCCCGGGUCUUGUACACACCGCCCGUCACACCACGAGAGUUUGUAACACCCGAAGCCGGUGGAGUAACCUUUUAGGAGCUAGCCGUCGAAGGUGGGACAAAUGAUUGGGGUGAAGUCGUAACAAGGUAGCCGUAUCGGAAGGUGCGGCUGGAUCACCUCCUUUCU
This 1554-nucleotide ribosomal RNA is filed under the name Staphylococcus aureus RF122. RNAcentral's name for it is "16S ribosomal RNA". It matches the Rfam family "Bacterial small subunit ribosomal RNA". The record is from RNAcentral. Lineage: Bacteria; Bacillati; Bacillota; Bacilli; Caryophanales; Staphylococcaceae.